Molecule: ribosomal RNA, 342 nt
Filed under: uncultured Polaromonas sp.
Lineage: Bacteria; Pseudomonadati; Pseudomonadota; Betaproteobacteria; Burkholderiales; Comamonadaceae
Description: bacterial SSU rRNA
Rfam family: Bacterial small subunit ribosomal RNA
Source: RNAcentral
CUGCAUGGCUGUCGUCAGCUCGUGUCGUGAGAUGUUGGGUUAAGUCCCGCAACGAGCGCAACCCUUGUCAUUAGUUUGCUACAUUUAGUUGGGGUCACUCUAAUGAGACUGCCGGUGACAAACCGGAGGAAGGUGGGGAUGACGUCAAGUCCUCAUGGCCCUUAUAGGUAGGGCUACACACGUCAUACAAUGGAUGGUACAAAGGGUCGCCAACCCGCGAGGGGGAGCCAAUCCCAUAAAACCAUUCGUAGUCCGGAUCGCAGUCUGCAACUCGACUGCGUGAAGUCGGAAUCGCUAGUAAUCGUGGAUCAGAAUGUCACGGUGAAUACGUUCCCGGGUCUU